This 337-nucleotide ribosomal RNA is filed under the name uncultured Streptococcus sp. Its description in RNAcentral is "bacterial SSU rRNA". It matches the Rfam family "Bacterial small subunit ribosomal RNA", at positions 1045 to 1382 of the family's 1533-position model. The record is from RNAcentral. Lineage: Bacteria; Bacillati; Bacillota; Bacilli; Lactobacillales; Streptococcaceae.
AUGGUUGUCGUCAGCUCGUGUCGUGUGAUGUUGGGUUAAGUCCCGCAACGAGCGCUAACCCCUAUUGUUAGUUGCCAUCAUUCAGUUGGGCACUCUAGCGAGACUGCCGGUAAUAAACCGGAGGAAGUGGGGAUGACGUCAAAUCGUCAUGCCCCUUAUGACCUGGGCUACACACGUGCUACAAUGGUUGGUACAACGAGUUGCGAGUCGGUGACGGCGAGCUAAUACUCUUAAAGCCAAUCUCAGUUCGGAUUGUAGGCUGCAACUCGCCUACAUGAAGUCGGAAUCGCUAGUAAUCGCGGAUCAGCACGCCGCGGUGAAUACGUUCCCGGGCCUU